Molecule: ribosomal RNA, 497 nt
Filed under: uncultured bacterium
Lineage: Bacteria
Description: partial 16S ribosomal RNA
Rfam family: Bacterial small subunit ribosomal RNA
Source: RNAcentral
GAUGAACGCUGGCGGCGUGCCUAAUACAUGCAAGUCGAGCGAACGGACGAGAAGCUUGCUUCUCUGAUGUUAGCGGCGGACGGGUGAGUAACACGUGGAUAACCUACCUAUAAGACUGGGAUAACUUCGGGAAACCGGAGCUAAUACCGGAUAAUAUUUUGAACCGCAUGGUUCAAAAGUGAAAGACGGUCUUGCUGUCACUUAUAGAUGGAUCCGCGCUGCAUUAGCUAGUUGGUAAGGUAACGGCUUACCAAGGCAACGAUGCAUAGCCGACCUGAGAGGGUGAUCGGCCACACUGGAACGGAGCCACGGUCCAAACUCCUACGGGAGGCAGCAGUAGGGAAUCUUCCGCAAUGGGCGAAAGCCUGACGGAGCAACGCCGCGUGAGUGAUGAAGGUCUUCGGAUCGUAAAACUCUGUUAUUAGGGAAGAACAUAUGUGUAAGUAACUGUGCACAUCUUGACGGUACCUAAUCAGAAAGCCACGGCUAACUACGUG